This 497-nucleotide ribosomal RNA is filed under the name uncultured bacterium. RNAcentral's name for it is "partial 16S ribosomal RNA". It matches the Rfam family "Bacterial small subunit ribosomal RNA", at positions 28 to 507 of the family's 1533-position model. The record is from RNAcentral.
GAUGAACGCUGGCGGCGUGCCUAAUACAUGCAAGUCGAGCGAACGGACGAGAAGCUUGCUUCUCUGAUGUUAGCGGCGGACGGGUGAGUAACACGUGGAUAACCUACCUAUAAGACUGGGAUAACUUCGGGAAACCGUAGCUAAUACCGGAUAAUAUUUUGAACCGCAUGGUUCAAAAGUGAAAGACGGUCUUGCUGUCACUUAUAGAUGGAUCCGCGCUGCAUUAGCUAGUUGGUAAGGUAACGGCUUACCAAGGCAACGAUGCAUAGCCGACCUGAGAGGGUGAUCGGCCACACUGGAACUGAGACACGGUCCAGACUCCUACGGGAGGCAGCAGUAGGGAAUCGUCCGCAAAGGGCGAAAGCCUGACGGAGCAACGCCGCGUGAGUGAUGAAGGUCUUCGGAUCGUAAAACUCUGUUAUUAGGGAAGAACAUAUGUGUAAGUAACUGUGCACAUCUUGACGGUACCUAAUCAGAAAGCCACGGCUAACUACGUG